This is a long non-coding RNA of Pipistrellus kuhlii (Kuhl's pipistrelle), 279 nucleotides long. RefSeq lists it as uncharacterized. The transcript has 3 exons. NCBI's taxonomy places the organism in Eukaryota, Metazoa, Chordata, Mammalia, Chiroptera, Vespertilionidae. The record is from RefSeq and is a predicted model, not a curated record.
CACGGAGAGGGCUGAGGGGCUUGAGGGGCCGGCUCCCAACACUGUAAUUUCUUGGACGCCUGAUUGUAUUCGAACUGGACAGAGGUGUAAAGCUGUUCCUUCUCAUCCUUACAGGGGUUUGGUUCUUGGGAAAGUUGUUGGCUGGCUUGUCGCGGUGAGUGUUCACGGCCUCCACGUUGACCUUGAUCGUUUCCACUUUGCACCCUGGGAACACGGAGGAAAGGAAAGAGGCCUUUGGGGGGCAGAGCUCCGAGAGAGAUCCCUCUGUUUCCGUAUGGG